AGGGAAUCUUCCGCAAUGGACGAAAGUCUGACGGAGCAACGCCGCGUGAGUGAUGAAGGUUUUCGGAUCGUAAAACUCUGUUGUUAGGGAAGAACAAGUGCCGUUCGAAUAGGGCGUUACCUUGACGGUACCUAACCAGAAAGCCACGGCUAACUACGUGCCAGCAGCCGCGGUAAUACGUAGGUGGCAAGCGUUGUCCGGAAUUAUUGGGCGUAAAGCGCGCGCAGGCGGUCCUUUAAGUCUGAUGUGAAAGCCCACGGCUCAACCGUGGAGGGUCAUUGGAAACUGGGGGACUUGAGUGCAGAAGAGAAGAGUGGAAUUCCACGUGUAGCGGUGAAAUGCGUAGAGAUGUGGAGGAACACCAGUGGCGAAGGCGACUCUUUGGUCUGUAACUGACGCUGAGGCGCGAAAGCGUGGGGAGCAAAC
This 426-nucleotide ribosomal RNA is filed under the name uncultured bacterium. RNAcentral describes it as "bacterial SSU rRNA". It matches the Rfam family "Bacterial small subunit ribosomal RNA", at positions 356 to 773 of the family's 1533-position model. The record is from RNAcentral.